CGCCCUGUUUUUACAAAAACAUAGUUUAAGGAAAUAAUCUUAAAUGAAUUCUGCCCAGUGAUUUUUUUUUAAAUGGCCGCAGUACCUUGACUGUGCUAAGGUAGCAUAAUCAAUUGGCUUCUAAUUAAAGUCUGGAAUGAAAGGAAAUAUGAAGUAAUUCUAUCUUAAAGGAUUUUUUUUGAAUUUAUUUAAAUGAUGAAAAUAUCAUUUUAUAGAAAAAAGACGAGAAGACCCUUAGAGUUUUGAUAUUUAUAUAUUUUUGUUGGGGCGACAGGUAAACAUAUAACUUUACGAAUUAUCAUUGAUCGAUUUUUUAUAAGAAUAAUAAAACUACCUUAGGGAUAACAGCAUUAUAUUUUUUUUUAUGAUUGUGACCUCGAUGUUGGACUAGGAACUUUAUGGCUAGCCGUCAAAAAAGAUUCUCGCUAA
RNAcentral lists this ribosomal RNA (429 nucleotides) under Biomphalaria straminea. RNAcentral's name for it is "partial 16S ribosomal RNA". The stretch from base 5 to 149 matches the Rfam family "Eukaryotic large subunit ribosomal RNA", at positions 2138 to 2327 of the family's 3401-position model. Lineage: Eukaryota; Metazoa; Mollusca; Gastropoda; Planorbidae. The record is from RNAcentral.